CACAUGCAAGUCGAGGGGAAACGACAUCGAAAGCUUGCUUUUGAUGGGCGUCGACCGGCGCACGGGUGAGUAACGCGUAUCCAACCUGCCCAUCACUUGGGGAUAACCUUGCGAAAGUAAGACUAAUACCCAAUGAUAUCUCUAGAAGACAUCUGAAAGAGAUUAAAGAUUUAUCGGUGAUGGAUGGGGAUGCGUCUGAUUAGCUUGUUGGCGGGGUAACGGCCCACCAAGGCAACGAUCAGUAGGGGUUCUGAGAGGAAGGUCCCCCACAUUGGAACUGAGACACGGUCCAAACUCCUACGGGAGGCAGCAGUGAGGAAUAUUGGUCAAUGGACGAGAGUCUGAACCAGCCAAGUAGCGUGCAGGAUGACGGCCCUAUGGGUUGUAAACUGCUUUUAUAAGGGAAUAAAGUGAGUCUCGUGAGACUUUUUGCAUGUACCUUAUGAAUAAGGACCGGCUAAUUCCGUGCCAGCAGCCGCGGUAAUACGGAAGGUCCGGGCGUUAUCCGGACUUAUUGGGUUUAAAGGGAGCGUAGGCCGGAGAUUAAGCGUGUUGUGAAAUGUAGAUGCUCAACAUCUGAACUGCAGCGCGAACUGGUUUCCUUGAGUACGCACAAAGUGGGCGGAAUUCGUGGUGUAGCGGUGAAAUGCUUAGAUAUCACGAAGAACUCCGAUUGCGAAGGCAGCUCACUGGAGCGCAACUGACGCUGAAGCUUGAAAGUGCGGGUAUCGAACAGGAUUAGAUACCCUGGUAGUCCGCACGGUAAACGAUGGAUGCCCGCUGUUGGUCUGAAUAGGUCAGCGGCC
Molecule: ribosomal RNA, 806 nt
Filed under: uncultured bacterium
Lineage: Bacteria
Description: bacterial SSU rRNA
Rfam family: Bacterial small subunit ribosomal RNA
Source: RNAcentral